AUUGAACGCUGGCGGCAGGCCUAACACAUGCAAGUCGAGCGGAUGAAGGGAGCUUGCUCCUGGAUUCAGCGGCGGACGGGUGAGUAAUGCCUAGGAAUCUUCCUGUGCUUGGGGGAUAACGUCCGUAAACGGGCGCUAAUACCGCAUACGUCCUGAGGGAGAAAGUGGGGGAUCUUCGGACCUCACGCUAUCAGAUGAGCCUAGGUCGGAUUAGCUAGUUGGUGGGGUAAAUGCCUACCAAGGCGACGAUCCGUAACUGGUCUGAGAGGAUGAUCAGUCACACUGGAACUGAGACACGGUCCAGACUCCUACGGGAGGCAGCAGUGGGGAAUAUUGGACAAUGGGAGAAAGACUGAUCCAGCCAUGCCGCGUGUGUGAAGAAGGUCUUCGGAUUGUAAAGCACUUUAAGUUGGGAGGAAGGGCAGUAAGUUAAUACCUUGCUGUUUUGACGUUACCAACAGAAUAAGCACCGGCUAACUUCGUG
This 484-nucleotide ribosomal RNA is filed under the name uncultured bacterium. RNAcentral describes it as "partial 16S ribosomal RNA". It matches the Rfam family "Bacterial small subunit ribosomal RNA", at positions 30 to 507 of the family's 1533-position model. The record is from RNAcentral.